AAGUAGUACUCUGUUCUGUGAGUUGCCAUGGCAGCCUUUCUCUCGGAGAGGAUGGCCCUAGUUCUUUCAUCUUAAGCAAUCGGCAGGCCCAUCUCCUUCGCUUAUCCUUGUUGCAGCACACAAGAGAUCGAAGCAGUUCAGACUGAACCAGGUCUUCUUCUUUGCCAUCAAGUACCACUGCUGAAAAUGAGAGUGUCGAAAAUAGUAAAGAUUAACAAAAGACUUACCAUACUAAGUAUAGCAAAUGAACGUCGGAUUUGUGUGCAAGGUUUGAUGGAAUGAGGUUGUUGAGAUUCUAGUGUUAAUACAGAUGAUGGUGGAAUAGAAGAUGUAACAUGAUUUUGAAGGGGAAGCCAUAUCAAGUAGCCUUUUCCUCCAAUAGUGGAGAGACCAUAAAAUGAAGGGGAAAUCCAAGUGCAAAAAUGCAUUAUUGGUGGAGGUGGGGAAAUCCCUAAUGUGCAAAAGAAAGCAUGUCUUUGAAGGAGAGAGACAGCUGUUGAGGGUCCUAUUUCUGCUCUAUAAUAUUCAUAUGCAAUAAUUUAUAAGUUAAUUGCAUAAAGUUGAGAUUUUUAAUAAUUAUGCAAGUGGAUCAGAUUUUCUUUGCUUUGGAA
Long non-coding RNA from Salvia splendens (bonfire salvia), 611 nucleotides. RefSeq lists it as uncharacterized. NCBI's taxonomy places the organism in Eukaryota, Viridiplantae, Streptophyta, Magnoliopsida, Lamiales, Lamiaceae. The transcript has 3 exons. The record is from RefSeq and is a predicted model, not a curated record.